UACAGAGGUCUCAAGCGUUGUCCGGAUUUAUUGGGCGUAAAGAGCUCGUAGGCGGCUUGUCGCGUCGACUGUGAAAACCCGUGGCUCAACCAUGUGGUCUGCAGUCGAUACGGGCAGGCUAGAAUUCGGUAGGGGAGACUGGAAUUCCUGGUGUAGCGGUGAAAUGCGCAGAUAUCAGGAGGAACACCGGUGGCGAAGGCGGGUCUCUGGGCCGAUAUUGACGCUGAGGAGCGAAAGCGUGGGGAGCGAACAGG
Molecule: ribosomal RNA, 254 nt
Filed under: uncultured bacterium
Lineage: Bacteria
Description: partial 16S ribosomal RNA
Rfam family: Bacterial small subunit ribosomal RNA
Source: RNAcentral